GAUGAACGCUGGCGGCGUGCCUAAUACAUGCAAGUCGAGCGAACAGAUAAGGAGCUUGCUCCUUUGACGUUAGCGGCGGACGGGUGAGUAACACGUGGGUAACCUACCUAUAAGACUGGGAUAACUUCGGGAAACCGGAGCUAAUACCGGAUAAUAUUUCGAACCGCAUGGUUCGAUAGUGAAAGAUGGUUUUGCUAUCACUUAUAGAUGGACCCGCGCCGUAUUAGCUAGUUGGUAAGGUAACGGCUUACCAAGGCGACGAUACGUAGCCGACCUGAGAGGGUGAUCGGCCACACUGGAACUGAGACACGGUCCAGACUCCUACGGGAGGCAGCAGUAGGGAAUCUUCCGCAAUGGGCGAAAGCCUGACGGAGCAACGCCGCGUGAGUGAUGAAGGUUUUCGGAUCGUAAAACUCUGUUAUUAGGGAAGAACAUACGUGUAAGUAACUGUGAAAGUAUAGACGGUACCUAAUCAGAAAGCCACGGCUAACUACGUG
RNAcentral lists this ribosomal RNA (497 nucleotides) under uncultured bacterium. Its description in RNAcentral is "partial 16S ribosomal RNA". It matches the Rfam family "Bacterial small subunit ribosomal RNA", at positions 28 to 507 of the family's 1533-position model. The record is from RNAcentral.